Molecule: ribosomal RNA, 253 nt
Filed under: uncultured bacterium
Lineage: Bacteria
Description: partial 16S ribosomal RNA
Rfam family: Bacterial small subunit ribosomal RNA
Source: RNAcentral
UACGUAGGUGGCAAGCGUUGUCCGGAAUUAUUGGGCGUAAAGCGCGCGCAGGCGGUCCCUUAAGUCUGAUGUGAAAGCCCACGGCUCAACCGUGGAGGGUCAUUGGAAACUGGGGGACUUGAGUGCAGAAGAGAAGAGUGGAAUUCCACGUGUAGCGGUGAAAUGCGUGGAGAUGUGGAGGAACACCAGUGGCGAAGGCGACUCUUUGGUCUGUAACUGACGCUGAGGCGCGAAAGCGUGGGGAGCAAACAGG